This 3184-nucleotide long non-coding RNA is filed under the name Capsicum annuum. RNAcentral describes it as "long non-coding RNA (CANN_LNC011092)". Lineage: Eukaryota; Viridiplantae; Streptophyta; Magnoliopsida; Solanales; Solanaceae. The record is from RNAcentral.
ACAAGAGACACCAAAUUGACUGCACAACCUCAAUUACACAACGAAAAACCACCCUGAAUUUCUACUGUUCCUGCUAAAAAUUAUUAGCUUGUGUAAUAUAGCAAGUAGCGUGACAUAUAAGAGAACGAAUGCUAAAAUAGAAUAUUAGGUUUUGAAGGGCAAAGAGUAGCUUACUAUUAAAAGCAUUUAAGUAUUCUUUUGAGAUGUGUCACAAUAGACAUGAAAUAGAACACUUAAAAGCAGAACAUUGAAAGUAAAGCAAUUCAACAAAACUUCAGGAAGCAUGACCCUCCUCAGCAGCAGCUUCAAAAGUUUCACCAGCCACAAGUUCUGGUACAUCAUCAUCAUCUGCCUGUGCUGCAGCAGCACCUACAGCCGCAUCUGUACCGGCAGCAGCACCAGGUGCUUGCUUCUGGAACUGCUCAGCCAACUUCUUCAAGUUCUCCAAAUUAUCAGGACCUGAAAAUUGUAUCUUCAACAGUCAAAACGUACGUUCAAUUGUUCAAGAUUUCACAUGAAUCAAAUGUAGGCCCAAAAAAUGAUACAUACCCAGCUGGUGAAUAAUCUGAGGAAGGAUAUCCUGCAAUUCUACAAAAGAAAAGAAAUAUAAACUUAGAAUUAUCAUGCAUCAUACACAAACCAGCUAUUUCAAGAGUUGUAGGCCUGUAGCACAUGGCAAAGAGAUAAUCGAAAGGAGUUAAAACAGUAAGGAAGCUCAAACACGCUAACAUGUGUUGGAGACACAACAGAAAGAUCAGUAGUCUUAAAGUAUAAUUUGUUGUGUGAUAUAGUUAUAAAGUUCAUGUUGUGGACUUAUGGCUGCAUUCAAAAGGUAACAGCUACCAAGUAAAAGCAAGGCAACAGGAAAGAGUAGAACACAUACUCUUUGUCUGGGGGAUACCGCUAACAACCCAGGUGUUUGCAGCAAUUGAUGCUUGAACUGAACAGAAUUCACAAACAAAACGAUGUUAGAUCGAAAAUAAAAUGACAGAUGACUAAACUAUGUGAAAUAUAGAUUAUUUUUAUACCUUUGGGGUUAAUGAAUUGGAUAACAACAUCCUCCUUGAAAAUGUUGACUUCUUCAAUAGCAGGAAUGGCAUUGACACCUAUUCUUUUCAAGGUGCUCUGUAGUCUUUUGUCAUCGGUUGUAGUUGUCUUGUGUACAACCUUCUUCUUUCUGCAGAAGCAGAAAUCAUUCAGUAAACAUGAAUGAGAAAAAUAAGAUACCUUAUCAAUACUUCUCUCAUGUCCCUCUCCAUUACUCAAUCAAGUUUUGACCCUAAGUCAAAAACUUGUUAAUCAUUACAAAACUAAGUUUGGCUUAUAUUCCAAAUAUUUUUCAUCUUAUUUGGAAUUUAUGAAAUUGGGAGUUCAAGAUUGAAUUUUGCUUGUUUGUACAUUUUGCAAAGGAGAGAGAGAAUAGAGAAAUUUAUUUGCAAUUUAAGAUGAUGGAGUUGGAAAACAGGUUUGGAGCUAUUUCUCAAAUUUGGAAAAUAACUCCAAGUUGGAUUUGGAAAUUUUAUGACCAAACAGUGACUUUGAAAUGAAGUGGACAAUUCUGCGGGGAUUAAAAUGAAAAACAACCAUGAUCGAACAGGCUCUUAAGUAACUGGAAUCUUUUGAGCAAGCGACAAGAGCAUACAUUCUUUCUCAAUACAAAACAUUGUCUAUUUCCAUGUGGUAAGAGUCACAGAAACUACAGAAAACUAAACAGACCUUCUCAUGGUACCCUUUCCACCAGUUCUGACCGAACCAGCCAUCUUUUGCAACUUUUCUACAUUCAUCUGUCCCAGAAAAGCACCAAAAGUUAGUAUUUCUCAAAAAACAAGUAUCAAGAAACUAAAUGCUUAGUGCAUUCCAUUCAAUCACCACGAAAGCUACACUAAGACCAACAACCACACACCUAGCGUAAUCCCACAAGUGGGGUCUGAGGGGGUAGAGCGUACACAAACCUUUACCCCUACCUCAUGGAGGUAGAGAGUCAUAAACUACACUAAACCACAUCCAGAAAAUUCACAUACUAAAAAAUAAAGGCUUCUAUAUAGAAGUUCAAAACACAAGAACACAUGAAUGUUGGAGCUAAUAGCACGUACCAACUUAACAAAGGUAAGACCAGGAACAUUACAUCAUUAUUUUGGUGUAGACCAGUUUUCUGAGCUAUUAAAAAUUGAUCAUUGAUAUAAGAAUCCAGAGGAUGCCAAAAAACAGACAGCAAAAUAAGCCUCACUGCAAACUAAAAUAAGCCAAAACAGAACCAUCUAAAUGCUUAGGGAGCUUACAAAAUCAACAAGUGAAAAGGGGCCAUUCAAAAAUUGGUCACUUAUCCCUUUUAUAUAGUUCCAAAGUACUUAAAUUUCAUUUAAAAAUAUUCAAUUGUCAUCCUUAGAAAAUCAAAUUCCACUAUUCAGGUUAGGAGGGAGAGAAUAGUGUUAUCUAACAACAACAUAAUGAGUAUAACUACACAAAGUAAGGUUUGGGGAGAGUAGAAUGUACGCAAGAAACAGAUGUACGACGUGAUAAGAAAACAGAAACAACCCCAUUCUUAAAAGUCUUGAGAUGCCCAACGCCAAUCUAAAUCAAUCACCAAAUACCAUAGCAUACACCGGGUGGAGACCAAAAAAGAGUGUAUGGAGCAACACUGGUUGAGAACACUCUGCAAAGGAAUUUCAGAACUGUUACUGCUUGGCCUCUUAGUAAGCUCCGAUAGCAUUACCUUAUACUAAAUAAAUACACAAUGGCACCUCAUGGUACAAGAGACACCAAAUUGACUGCACCUCAUGGUACAAGAGACACCAAAUUGACUGCACAACCUCAAUUACACAACGAAAAACCACCCUGAAUUUCUACUGUUCCUGCUAAAAAUUAUUAGCUUGUGUAAUAUAGCAAGUAGCGUGACAUAUAAGAGAACGAAUGCUAAAAUAGAAUAUUAGGUUUUGAAGGGCAAAGAGUAGCUUACUAUUAAAAGCAUUUAAGUAUUCUUUUGAGAUGUGUCACAAUAGACAUGAAAUAGAACACUUAAAAGCAGAACAUUGAAAGUAAAGCAAUUCAACAAAACUUCAGGAAGCAUGACCCUCCUCAGCAGCAGCUUCAAAAGUUUCACCAGCCACAAGUUCUGGUACAUCAUCAUCAUCUGCCUGUGCUGCAGCAGCACCUACAGCCGCAUCUGUACCGGCAGCAGCACCAG